Molecule: ribosomal RNA, 460 nt
Filed under: uncultured bacterium
Lineage: Bacteria
Description: partial 16S ribosomal RNA
Rfam family: Bacterial small subunit ribosomal RNA
Source: RNAcentral
CCUACGGGUGGCAGCAGUGAGGAAUAUUGGUCAAUGGACGAGAGUCUGAACCAGCCAAGUAGCGUGAAGGAUGACUGCCCUAUGGGUUGUAAACUUCUUUUAUAAAGGAAUAAAACGAGGCACGUGUGCCUUUUUGCAUGUACUUUAUGAAUAAGGAUCGGCUAACUCCGUGCCAGCCGCCGCGGUAAUACGGAGGAUCCGAGCGUUAUCCGGAUUUAUUGUGUUUAAAGGGAGCGUAGAUGGGUUGUUAAGUCAGUUGUGAAAGUUUGCGGCUCAACCGUAAAAUUGCAAUUGAUACUGGCAGUCUUGAGUACAGUUGAGGUAAGCGGAAUUCGUGGUGUAGCGGUGAAAUGCUUAGAUAUCACGAAGAACCCCGAUUGCGAAGGCAGCUUACUAAACUGUGACUGACAUUGAUGCUCGAAAGUGUGGGUAUCAAACAGGAUUAGAUACCCCUGUAGUC